Molecule: small RNA, 431 nt
Filed under: Pan troglodytes (chimpanzee)
Lineage: Eukaryota; Metazoa; Chordata; Mammalia; Primates; Hominidae
Description: processed transcript
Source: RNAcentral
GCCACACGCCGUUUUAAGAGAAACCUGAGCGUUGGGGUGAGCGUCGGACCCGGGGGAGGGGGGCCGGGUCCAGGCACGUGGGUGGCGCCCUCACCCACCCUGUCCCCCCAGGAAGCAGGUCCUGGGGACCAAGGUGGACGCGGAGCGUGACGGCGUGAAGGUGCCCACCACGCUGGCCGAGUACUGCGUGAAGACCAAGGCGCCGGCGCCCGACGAGGGCUCAGACCUCUUCUACGACGACUACUACGAGGACGGCGAGGUGGAGGAGGCCGGCAGCUGCUUCGGGGAGGACGAGGAUGACUCUGGCACGGAGGAGUCCUGACACCACCAGAAUAAACUUGCGGAGUUUACCUCACUAGGGCCGGACCCGUGGCUCCUUAGACGACAGACUACCUCACGGAGGUUUUGUGCUGGUCCCCGUCUCCUCUGGU